GGGGCGCGAUUCUAGAGUUAAUCAUCACUCGAGCUGAUUAUUACUUGGCUUCGUCUUGCUGGUUAAACGGACAGUUGACUCUCCGACGUCAAUAGAUUCGAAGAUCAUACAAUUCUUCCCGAGCAGGUUUUGCAUUCACUAAUCUUACCGAGCAAACAGUACUCGGGUGUGAAGACCUGAAUGGCCUCCUGCCUUUCUCAGGAUGUUCUUAUCGAUUGUACACAGAGAUAUACUCACGUCCAGCAAGAUCAACCAAAGGCACAACUCAAUCAGCAAUAAUGAGCCACACCAGCACCUCAGGGUCAGGCACCCAAGGAGAACAGACUGCACCUUCCUCAUUCUUUUCUCUUAUCACAGCCACAAUGGGAUCCUGGAGCACAGAAGCUCAUGAGAAGUGCACAGAGUGCACUGUAGAUAAUAAUCACCCCAGGCUCAUUGAGAUUGGUCCCAACUUGGAAUGGCUAAAGGGACAGUUCUCACACCAUGGGCAGCAGGAACUGGGAGCAGUGACUAAAUGUGAAGUCCCAGUCUAUUCUUUAAUAAUCUCAUGCUUGUAGCUUCAGUUCACACAGGACAAGUCAGAUACCAGAUUGAAAUGGCUUGAUGCACACCAUUUUGUCUUUGUUCAAUGUAAUGGAGCAUUUUGCACUGAAGCAUCAGCAUGCAGUGCUGAUAAUUUGAAUUUAAGAAUUAAGUUCUAAUUUAUGAGGUAGAAAAAGCAUUAAAACAGAGGAAAACCUGGCCAUACGGCCCAGUAUGCCACUGCUAGCUCUUUGUGACAAAACUUAAAGAGCCAGCAGAGGAACUGCAGGCCAAGUGGUUUCCUUAACUACAAAACAAUACCUGCUUAGCCUGUGUGAACAUUGUCUUUAAACCUUCACCACUUCAACCAGUUAGGUCUCUCUGUUCACUGAUAAAUAACUGAUUAACAGAAACGCUUACUCUUUGAUUCCAGUUACAUUUGGUCUCAGUUAGUGAAAUGUCUUUAUAAUAAGCUCAAGAUGGAUCCAAUCCUCAAUGUUCAUCUGUAAUUAUUAACUACAGAUAGUCUCUUAUUUCCUAUAAAGAGCCUCCAUGUUCCAGUCAUCUCACCAAGAUUCUGAAGGACUCUGCAGAGAAAGAUGAAAGCACUGCUUUUGCUGCUAAUCAACCUGGUACUCGUCGAGCCUAUCACUGCCGAUGGAGAAUCGAGGCCAAGGUUUUUUUCUGGCCUAUUCAACUCUUGUGGAUUCCGCGGAGGAACUUGCAAGCGAUCUCCUUGUGAUCCGCAUGAAAUCCCUUACAAUGGGAUUUGUACCAUCGGGCUAUACUGCUGCAAGAGAAAAUGGACAUACAGCGAAAAAAUUCUAAAAUGAGACCCAUCUGAGGCACCAACUGAUGCUAACCAUCAUCUCUGUAGAUCGUCUGUGUUUCCUUGUGUGGAUCCAAUGACCCCUGUCCUAUUGCUUU
This is a long non-coding RNA of Rhincodon typus (whale shark), 1449 nucleotides long. RefSeq lists it as uncharacterized. The transcript has 3 exons. The record is from RefSeq and is a predicted model, not a curated record. Lineage: Eukaryota; Metazoa; Chordata; Chondrichthyes; Orectolobiformes; Rhincodontidae.